Non-coding RNA from Myodes glareolus (Bank vole), 897 nucleotides. Lineage: Eukaryota; Metazoa; Chordata; Mammalia; Rodentia; Cricetidae. The record is from RefSeq and is a predicted model, not a curated record.
UGGUGGGUGUGCCUUCCCAGCUGUAGCCGUUGUCCUCUGUAUGUUCCUGCGUGCAUCACGUCGGCGUGUGUGCGUCACGUGGGCGUGUGUGCGUCGUCUUGGUGACAGAGACUUCUAAGAAGGGCAAGCACAUCUUGGUCCUGUGACCUAGUCAUUGCGCUCCACCCAUCUCGGGACAGUCUCCCACCACACUCUCCCGCCACUUCUUUCAUUCAUAGCUACUUUCUUUUCUAGCUCCACUUCCAGAAUCCUCAGGCAUCAAUGAACUCACCCCCGCACAGUGAAGUUUAACCUCUCGUUGCUCUGCAGUCAGUGUUGCGAAUUAGGAUUCCAGAGUCAGACGCUGGGUGAACAACCUGCUAGCUCAGAGAGGCAGAGCUUCUUACACACCAAGGGGGAUGUUACAGACGCUUGGAUGACUCCACUGGGAAAAACAACAGUAACUAUGGACAGCCCAAAUCUCAGAUUCCAGACUUCAUACCAACAACUCUUCGGGGGGCUCCAGGUCUUCAGAGCUGGCUGAGGAUGCUGAGUCAGCCCACUUUGUCAAACGAGCAGCUACUGGGUUCUUUCCUUCUCCAGAAUGUAGCCAUCAAAGAAAGCCACCACUCUCUAAGAACAAGGAGACUAGACAGCAAGAAAAAUGGAUGGCCUAAAUGAUCCAAAAUCUCAGAGCACCUCUGUUGCAGUUUCCUCAGAAUUCUACAUCCAAAACAAUUUCAAAGCUGCUGGUUGGCAUUAUCCAGCCUUACAGACUACUCCAGCCAAGACCUAACAAUUAUCCUGACUUUCUCAAUGUUUUCCCAAAGAUAUCAGCACCCGCAGACAACAGGAAGAGGUCCAAAGAACAAUGACUACAUUCCCAAAUAUGGGUAAUAGAUGUUUAUUACCAUUUAA